Molecule: ribosomal RNA, 464 nt
Filed under: uncultured bacterium
Lineage: Bacteria
Description: bacterial SSU rRNA
Rfam family: Bacterial small subunit ribosomal RNA
Source: RNAcentral
UGGGGAAUCUUGGACAAUGGGGGCAACCCUGAUCCAGCCAUGCCGCGUGAGUGAUGAAGGCCUUAGGGUCGUAAAGCUCUUUCGCCUGUGAAGAUAAUGACGGUAGCAGGUAAAGAAACCCCGGCUAACUCCGUGCCAGCAGCCGCGGUAAUACGGAGGGGGUUAGCGUUGUUCGGAAUUACUGGGCGUAAAGCGCACGUAGGCGGACCAGAAAGUUGGGGGUGAAAUCCCGGGGGCUCAACCCCGGAACUGCCUCCAAAACUAUUGGUCUAGAGUUCGAGAGAGGUGAGUGGAAUUCCAAGUGUAGAGGUGAAAUUCGUAGAUAUUUGGAGGAACACCAGUGGCGAAGGCGGCUCACUGGCUCGAUACUGACGCUGAGGUGCGAAAGUGUGGGGAGCAAACAGGAUUAGAUACCCUGGGUAGUCCACACCGUAAAACGAUGAAUGCCAGUCGUCGGGUAGCAU